This is a small nucleolar RNA of Carya illinoinensis, 107 nucleotides long. NCBI's taxonomy places the organism in Eukaryota, Viridiplantae, Streptophyta, Magnoliopsida, Fagales, Juglandaceae. The record is from RefSeq and is a predicted model, not a curated record.
AGAUUGUGAUGAGGACACUUGUGCAAUAAAUCUUUGUAUCUUUCCCAUGCUUCAUAUAGAGAUUCACCCUCAAAUUGGGUGAAGGUACUAAUAUCAUUUCUCAGCUU